RNAcentral lists this ribosomal RNA (901 nucleotides) under Scolecobasidium acanthi. RNAcentral describes it as "partial large subunit ribosomal RNA". It matches the Rfam family "Eukaryotic large subunit ribosomal RNA", at positions 36 to 962 of the family's 3401-position model. The record is from RNAcentral. Lineage: Eukaryota; Fungi; Ascomycota; Dothideomycetes; Venturiales; Sympoventuriaceae.
UAGCAUAUCAUAAGCGAGAAAGAAACACCGGGAUGCCUAGUACGCGAGUGAAGCGGCAACAGCUCAAAUUUGAAAUCUGGAGCCUUUGGCUUCCGAGUUGUAAUUUGCAGAGGGAGCCUCGGAGGGCGAGACGGUCCAAGUGCCUUGGAACAGGAUACCGCAGAGGGUGAGAGUCCCGUAUCCGGCCGAUCUUGCGCUCCGUGUGAGGCCCCUUCGACGAGUCGAGUUGUUUGGGAAUGCAGCUCCAAGCGGGUGGUAAAUUCCAUCUAAAGCUAAAUACUGGCCAGAGACCGAUAGCGAACAAGUAGAGUGAUCGAAAGAUGAAAAGCACUUUGAAAAGAGAGUCAAACAGUACGUGAAAUUGUUGAAAGGGAAGCGCAUGGGGGCAGACUUGGACGCGGGGUUCAGCGUUUCUUUUUGGAGCGUGUACUUCCCCGCGUGCAGGCCAGCAUCGGUUCCGGGGGCCGGACAAAGACGUUGGGAAUGUGGCUCCCCUCGGGGAGUGUUAUAGCCCGGCGUGCAAUGCGGCCACCUGGGACCGAGGACCGCGCCUUGUGCAAGGAUGCUGGCGUAAUGGCCUCAUGCGGCCCGUCUUGAAACACGGACCAAGGAGUCUAACAUCUAUGCGAGUGUUUGGGUGGCAAGCCCGGACGCGCAAUGAAAGUGAACGGAGGUGGGAGUCUGUUACAGGACGCACCAUCGACCGAUCCGGACGUCUUCUGAAGGAUUUGAGUAAGAGCAUAGCUGUUGGGACCCGAAAGAUGGUGAACUAUGCGUGAAUAGGGUGAAGCCAGAGGAAACUCUGGUGGAGGCUCGCAGCGGUUCUGACGUGCAAAUCGAUCGUCAAAUUUGCGUAUAGGGGCGAAAGACUAAUCGAACCAUCUAGUAGCUGGUUCCUGCG